This 618-nucleotide ribosomal RNA is filed under the name uncultured bacterium. Its description in RNAcentral is "bacterial SSU rRNA". The stretch from base 1 to 536 matches the Rfam family "Bacterial small subunit ribosomal RNA", at positions 338 to 873 of the family's 1533-position model. The record is from RNAcentral.
CCUACGGGAGGCAGCAGUGAGGAAUAUUGGACAAUGGGCGCAAGCCUGAUCCAGCCAUGCCGCGUGCAGGAAGACGGUCCUAUGGAUUGUAAACUGCUUUUGUACGGGAAGAAACACUCCUUCGUGAAGGAGCUUGACGGUACCGUAAGAAUAAGGAUCGGCUAACUCCGUGCCAGCAGCCGCGGUAAUACGGAGGAUCCAAGCGUUAUCCGGAAUCAUUGGGUUUAAAAGGGUCCGUAGGCGGUUUAGUAAGUCAGUGGUGAAAAGCCCAUCGCUCAACGGUGGAACGGCCAUUGAUACUGCUAGACUUGAAUUAUUAGGAAGUAACUAGAAUAUGUAGUGUAGCGGUGAAAAUGCUUAGAGAUUACAUGGAAUACCAAUUGCGAAGGCAGGUUACUACUAAUGGAUUGACGCUGAUGGACGAAAGCGUGGGUAGCGAACAGGAUUAGAUACCCUGGUAGUCCACGCCGUAAACGAUGGAUACUAGCUNUUGGGGGCAACUUCAGUGGCUAAGCGAAAGUGAUAAGUAUCCCACCUGGGGAGACGUUCGCAAGAAGUAGAAGUUACAAAGAAAGUUAGUUAGGCGNGNGAGNGCGAGGACGACGACGAGGGAGGAGG